This 328-nucleotide ribosomal RNA is filed under the name uncultured eukaryote. RNAcentral's name for it is "partial 18S ribosomal RNA". It matches the Rfam family "Eukaryotic small subunit ribosomal RNA", at positions 1470 to 1796 of the family's 1831-position model. The record is from RNAcentral.
CCCUUAGACGUUCUGGGCCGCACGCGCGCUACACUGACGGAGCCAGCGAGUAUAAACCUUGGCCGAGAGGUCUGGGAAAUCUUGUGAAACUCCGUCGUGCUGGGGAUAGAGCAUUGUAAUUAUUGCUCUUCAACGAGGAAUUCCUAGUAAGCGUAAGUCAUCAGCUUGCGUUGAUUACGUCCCUGCCCUUUGUACACACCGCCCGUCGCUACUACCGAUUGAAUGGCUUAGUGAGGCCUCCGGAUUGGCUUUGGGGAGCCGGCAACGGCACCUCAUGGCUGAGAAGUUGGUCAAACUUGGUCAUUUAGAGGAAGUAAAAGUCGUAACA